Molecule: ribosomal RNA, 496 nt
Filed under: uncultured bacterium
Lineage: Bacteria
Description: partial 16S ribosomal RNA
Rfam family: Bacterial small subunit ribosomal RNA
Source: RNAcentral
GAUGAACGCUGGCGGCGUGCCUAAUACAUGCAAGUAGAACGCUGAAGGAAGGAGCUUGCUCUUUCCGGAUGAGUUGCGAACGGGUGAGUAACGCGUAGGUAACCUGCCUGGUAGCGGGGGGUAACUAUUGGAAACGAUAUCUAAUACCGCAUAACAGUAGAUGUUGCAUGAUAUCUACUUAAAAGGUGCAAUUGCACCACUACCAGAUGGACCUGGGUUGUAUUAGCUAGUUGGUGAGGUAACGGCCCACCAAGGCGACGAACCAUAGCCGACCGGAGAGGAUGAUGACCAAACCGGGAACGGGACACGGGCCAGGACUCCUAGGGGAGGAGCAGGAGGGGAUUAUCGGCAAUGGGCGGAAGGCUGGACCAACAACGCCGGGUGGUGGGAGAAAGGUGUCGGAUCGUAAAACUCUGUUGUAAGGGAAGAAAGGGUGGGAGGGUGGAACCUUGCUGCUGUGACGGUAUCUUAAGAGUAAGCGACGGCUAACUACGUG